GGACUGCAGUGUAGGACUUUCCUGCAGAAUACCAUUUGAUCCUAUUAAGAAUUGUCCAAAUGUUGGAGCAUUUGAUUGAAAAAUCCUUCUUAGCCAUUUUAAAGAUAGCUUUCCAAUGAUUAGACGAAUUGAUUCUUUCUGUGACUCAUCAGUUCAUUUCCUGUAAAAUUCAUGUCUUGCUGUUGAUUUGUGAAUAAGAACCAGAGCUUGUAGAAACCACUUUAAUCAUAUCCAGGAGUUUGCAAGAAACAGGUGCUUAACACUAAUUCACCUCCUGAACAAGAAAAAUGGGCUGUGACCGGAACUGUGGGCUCAUCGCUGGGGCUGUCAUUGGUGCUGUCCUGGCUGUGUUUGGAGGUAUUCUAAUGCCAGUUGGAGACCUGCUUAUCCAGAAGACAAUUAAAAAGGCACAGAAGUUUACAGACAGUUUUGGAUCUUUGAUGUGCAAAAUCCACAGGAAGUGAUGAUGAACAGCAGCAACAUUCAAGUCAAGCAAAGA
Molecule: small RNA, 499 nt
Filed under: Pan troglodytes (chimpanzee)
Lineage: Eukaryota; Metazoa; Chordata; Mammalia; Primates; Hominidae
Description: processed transcript
Source: RNAcentral